AGAAUCAACGCUGGCGGCGUGCCUAACACAUGCAAGUCGAACGCGAAAGCCCCGAAAGGGGCAAGUAGAGUGGCAAACGGGUGAGUAACGCGUGGGUGACCUGCCUUCGAGCGGGGGAUAACGUUCCGAAAGGGACGCUAAUACCGCAUAACAUCCUGCCCUUGAACGGGUGGUGAUCAAAGCUGGGAUUCGCAAGAACCCGGCACUUGAAGAGGGGCCCGCGUCUGAUUAGCUAGUUGGUGAGGUAACGGCUCACCAAGGCAACGAUCAGUA
This 273-nucleotide ribosomal RNA is filed under the name uncultured bacterium. Its description in RNAcentral is "partial small subunit ribosomal RNA". It matches the Rfam family "Bacterial small subunit ribosomal RNA", at positions 26 to 285 of the family's 1533-position model. The record is from RNAcentral.